GCCGGUGAUAAGCCGGAGGAAGGCGGGAUGACGUCAAGUCCUCAUGGCCCUUACGGGCUGGGCUACACACGUACUACAAUGGUGGUGACAGUGGGAUGCGAAAGCGCGAGCUGGAGCGAAUCCCCAAAAGCCAUCUCAGUUCGGAUUGCACUCUGCAACUCGAGUGCAUGAAGUUGGAAUCGCUAGUAAUCGUGGAUCAGAAUGCCACGGUGAAUACGUUCCCGGGCCUU
RNAcentral lists this ribosomal RNA (230 nucleotides) under uncultured Rhodospirillaceae bacterium. RNAcentral describes it as "partial 16S ribosomal RNA". It matches the Rfam family "Bacterial small subunit ribosomal RNA", at positions 1151 to 1382 of the family's 1533-position model. The record is from RNAcentral. Lineage: Bacteria; Pseudomonadati; Pseudomonadota; Alphaproteobacteria; Rhodospirillales; Rhodospirillaceae.